GCCCACCACAUCCUUUCCAUCCCGUGAGAGAGGCAGGGAGAGGCAGCGAGCGGAGCAGACAACAGAGGACGCUGCGACCUGCUCCCGCUAGGGCUCGCGCUCGGCCGUCGGCCCACCGUUGCUCGCCGCGACCGCCGGUCCUCCCCGGCUCCCCUCGCCCCAUCUGGCUCCGGCACCCCGGCCAUCUGCCCUCCGCGGCUCCGCCCCUCCGGCCUUUCCCCGUUCCGGCGCUGCCUGCCCAGCCGUGGAGCCGCCGCCACUGCCUCCGGUUCUCCCGCUCCGACUCUGCGUCGCUGCUCGCCCAAGGCAGAGCCACUGGUUGGUUGUGGGUGAGUUGCUUGCAUCUGGUUGCUUGGUGGAUGAGUUUCUGUUUGGAUCUCGUUUGCAGAUUUUGCAGCUACAGCUUUGUAGUGACAUUAUGUUUUGAUUGUAGUACAUCUGAAGAUGAAGAGGAAUGGUGACAUUAAGUCAUUUUUUUCAAAAUUAUGAGGCAAAAACAAGAAAGGUUGCAGCCCAAGAGCAACAUGAACCUGAUAUUGAUCCACCACCACUGCCUCCACUCCAUUUGGAUUCAGAGAUUGACACUGAUAUUUAUUCACCUCCGGUCCAUUCCAAUCUAGAGAUUGACAUUGAUAUUGAUGAUGAAGCGCCACGACAACCAUCAGUUCAACAUCCAAAUGCAAGAUCAUAUAAUAUUCAAAGGCUUCCAACUGAUCCAGGGGAAAGGAUUCCUAUUUCAGAGUAUAAUUCUUGAGGUACUUGACGCCAUUGGAAAAGAUCCUUCACAAAAAGGUGAGUGGACAAGAAUACGUGGAGUUACUCAAGCCAUUGAAUCAUUUGACUUUGUUUUCAAUCUUCACUUCAUGCUUGUUAUUCUUGGCUAUACAAAUGAGUUGUCCAAAUCUUUGCAAAAGAGAGAUCAAGAUAUUGUUAAUGCAAUGGUACUUGUUAGUUUGGCAAAGAGUAGAAUGCAACACAUGAGGUCUCAUGGUUGGGAAGAAUUUCUUGCAAAGCUAACCCUAUUUUGCAACAAACAUGACAUUCAAGUUCCUUUAUGGGAGGAUACUUAUGAGCAUCAUGGAAGAUCACAUUGGUAUUAUGUAGUACAAACAAAUGAUGAUCGUUAUAGAAGAGAAGUAUAUCUUGGUGUCAUUGACCAAACCAUUCAAGAGCUUAACAACCGGUUUGAUGAGGUUAAUACGGAGUUGCUUAUUUGCAUGUCGGCUUUGAAUCCCCUCAAUUCAUUUGCUUAUUGUGAUGCAUUCAAGGUGAUGAAACUUGCUGAAUUCUAUCCCAUGGACAUAUCAAGCACGGAUUUGAUAAGGCUAGAAUUUCAACUUGAUACUUUUAUUGAUGAUAUGAGACAAGAUGAUAGGUUUAGAAAUGCAAGUAAUAUUGGUGAGCUCUGUAUUUUGCGUGUUGCAACAAAGAAGCAUGUUCUUUAUGAUUUGGUCUACUUACUCAUCAAAUUGAUAUUGACUUUAUCGGUGGUAACGGCGAGUGCUGGAAGGGUAUUUUCUGCAAUGAAUCUAGUGAAAAAUAAAUUAAGGACUAGUAUGGGUGAUGAUCACUUGAAUAAUUGCCUGGCCGACAGAUGCUUUCGGUAGAAAUGUCAAGUCAUGCCUGGCCGACAAGUGUUACGUUGUGUCGUGCCUCGUCGGCAGGUGCUAUGCACGACAUGUCUUCCGAAAUCUUCGCGUCUGGACGGACAACGUGGGGCGGUAGCGCCUCUUGGCGUCGUGGUGCCGUCGACGGAUGGAUGGACUCGCAAGGAUAAUGCAGAUCUCUUUUUUAAAGAUGGGUCAGCGAUUCGAUGAUGAUGGCGGCAUCUACAACGUGUGCAUGUGGUGUACGCUUUAGGUCUGCUGCAUCGGUUGUGGGUUCUGAUACGUUAUGUGGAUGGAUCGACGACGGCACCGGUUUUAGAUAUGAGGAGUAAGAGCACUCCAUAUUAUCGAAUUUUGUAAGUGUGAAUGGUGGCUUCGGAUGGUUUGAUGUAUGUUUUUGUUAGACCUAUGUUAAACAAUAAAUAAAGAUGGUUGUAUGCAUCGAUUGAUGGAGAGGCCAUGAGUUUUAAC
RNAcentral lists this long non-coding RNA (2078 nucleotides) under Hordeum vulgare. RNAcentral's name for it is "long non-coding RNA (HVUL_LNC005832)". Lineage: Eukaryota; Viridiplantae; Streptophyta; Magnoliopsida; Poales; Poaceae. The record is from RNAcentral.